Molecule: long non-coding RNA, 274 nt
Filed under: Ananas comosus (pineapple)
Lineage: Eukaryota; Viridiplantae; Streptophyta; Magnoliopsida; Poales; Bromeliaceae
Description: long non-coding RNA (ACOM_LNC022505)
Source: RNAcentral
UAUAAGAGACUGCGCAUCCUAACAAUAAUAACUGGCUCGAAUAACUGACCGUCCCUAGAGCAAGUGGCAAAGGACUUGGUGGUUGGUACCUGAGACCCAAGUUCGAAUCCUAGCUGAUUCACAUUUCCAGUUAAGUUUAUUUCUAAAAAAUGAAAUAAACGAAGCGAGUAGCGUGCUAUCUAUCUCUCAAAAAAAAAAAAUAAAUAAAUAACUGGCUCAAAUAUUUUGUAUUAUUACUAGUGGAUCUGGUCGUUACAUAUUAUUUCACUUCACG